AUGAACGCUGGCGGCGUGCCUCAUACAUGCAAGUCGAGCGAACGGACGAGAAGCUUGCUUCUCUGAUGUUAGCGGCGGACGGGUGAGUAACACGUGGAUAACCUACCUAUAAGACUGGGAUAACUUCGGGAAACCGGAGCUAAUACCGGAUAAUAUUUUGAACCGCAUGGUUCAAAAGUGAAAGACGGUCUUGCUGUCACUUAUAGAUGGAUCCGCGCUGCAUUAGCUAGUUGGUAAGGUAACGGCUUACCAAGGCAACGAUGCAUAGCCGACCUGAGAGGGUGAUCGGCCACACUGGAACUGGGACACGGUCCAGACUCCUACGGGAGGCAGCAGUAGGGAAUCUUCCGCAAUGGGCGAAAGCCUGACGGAGCAACGCCGCGUGAGUGAUGAAGGUCUUCGGAUCGUAAAACUCUGUUAUUAGGGAAGAACAUAUGUGUAAGUAACUGUGCACAUCUUGACGGUACCUAAUCAGAAAGCCACGGCUAACUACGUG
Molecule: ribosomal RNA, 496 nt
Filed under: uncultured bacterium
Lineage: Bacteria
Description: partial 16S ribosomal RNA
Rfam family: Bacterial small subunit ribosomal RNA
Source: RNAcentral